ACAACGUCAUUUUGCAAAUACAUUGCAUGGAAAGGUCGUGCGAUGGGGCAAAGCAUGAAAAAAGAGUGAAAAGCAGAGAAGAAAUAUGGUGCGUUCGAUUGGACUCGAACCAACGACCCCCACCA
Molecule: antisense RNA, 125 nt
Filed under: Atlantibacter hermannii NBRC 105704
Lineage: Bacteria; Pseudomonadati; Pseudomonadota; Gammaproteobacteria; Enterobacterales; Enterobacteriaceae
Description: Bacterial antisense RNA HPnc0260
Rfam family: Bacterial antisense RNA HPnc0260
Source: Rfam by way of RNAcentral